AUGAUCUGGGCUGCUCGUUUGCCACUGGCCGAGGAUGUUGCACAGAUCAACAGGAGAGGACACUCUCAAUCAGAUUGUGAUGGUAAAGGGAAAGCAGAAUUGGGAGGGAACCGCAAGACUACCUGUCCAGCAAGUGUACAGUUUGAUCCAGGCGACUCAUUCAAGAAACCUAAUACUACAUCGUUGCCACCAACACACAGACCGACGGCUCCUUCAGUGAACCUGAACGCUGGUGGGGGUGAAAGAGGGGCAUCCGAUGAGGACGCUACCCACCCGAAGCCAGUCAAUGGGGGAGCUAUAAGCCGUGCAGCCGCGAGUUCGGAACCACAGGUGGUACCGGCGGUUGUACAGGAGUCAUGUGUGGCGUCAUCUGUUGCAUUGAACUGCUUGGUAUGGAACUGUCGGGGGAUCAGAGGAUCCCGAACAGUACGUGAUCUUGUGUCCCUCAACUCAGUGCAUCAUCCGAGCUUCAUCUUUCUUUGUGAGACUAGACAAAAUAAAGAAAAAGUUAGGCGCCUAUGCAAACGUUUAGGCCUUCGUGGUUUUGCUGGAGUCAGUAGUGUUGGUUUCAGUGGUGGUCUAGCUCUUUUCUGGGAUGAUCAGAUGAUUGUCGAAGUAAAAGAUGUCAAUGAGAGGUACAUAGAUGUGUAUGUUCGAGCCUCUCCGGAUAGUGCCCAGUGGAGAUUAACUUGUGUAUAUGGACAGCCUAGAGUGGAGAACAGACACCUGAUGUGGGAUAAACUAAGAAGUCUGAAGGCUACUUCCAAUCUUCCUUGGGCAGUGGUCGGCGACUUUAAUGAAGCAUUAUGGAAAUUUGAGCACUUUUCCUUUACCAGUCGAUCGGAAGCCCAGAUGUCAGCGUUUCGCGAUGUCUUGGCGGACUGUGAUCUUACCGACUUGGGGUUCACCAGCCGGGGAGAAGGAUGA
Molecule: ribosomal RNA, 927 nt
Filed under: Triticum aestivum (bread wheat)
Lineage: Eukaryota; Viridiplantae; Streptophyta; Magnoliopsida; Poales; Poaceae
Description: partial small subunit ribosomal RNA
Source: RNAcentral